This 99-nucleotide small RNA is filed under the name Ancylostoma ceylanicum. Lineage: Eukaryota; Metazoa; Nematoda; Chromadorea; Rhabditida; Ancylostomatidae. The record is from RNAcentral.
GUACAGCAAGGAUAUGGGGCGGAUUAAUAUUUCCUUGCGCAGGGGCAAUGCUAAUCUUCUCUGUAUUGUUCCCAUUUUAGUAUAUGUUCAGGAAUGAAC